Gallus gallus (chicken) is the source of this 11109-nucleotide long non-coding RNA. RefSeq lists it as uncharacterized. Lineage: Eukaryota; Metazoa; Chordata; Aves; Galliformes; Phasianidae. The transcript is spliced from 4 exons. The record is from RefSeq and is a predicted model, not a curated record.
UCAGUGCCACAUCCACACGGCUCUUCAACACCUCCAGGGACGGUGACUCCACCACCACCCUGGGCAGCCUGUGCCACUGCCUCACCGCUCUUGCUGAGAAGAAGUUGUUCCUAAUACCCAACCUGAAUCUCUCCUAUUACAGCUUGAGUCCAACACCUCUUGCUGUGUUGCUGUUACCUCAGAGAAGAGGCUGAUCCCUAUCUCUUCAGAGCCUCCCUUCAGGUGGUUGCAGAGAGUGAUGAAGUCUCUCCUGAGCCUCCUCUUCUCCAGACUGAGCAACUCCAGUUCCUUCAGCUUCUCCCCGUCAGCUCCAGACCCUUCACAGCUUCAUUACACUUCUCUGGACACAUUCCAGGGCCUCGAUGUCUUUCUUGUAGUGAGGGCCCCCAAACUGAGCACAGUACUUGAGGUGCAGCCUUACCAGUCCCAUACUUGUUUGAAGCCCCAUAUCCAAAAUGUUAUUAUAGUAAUUCUGGAACACUUUAUGAUCUUCUAGCACUCUAUGAUCUUUUUACCACUAUCCAUCAUAUUUUUAGAAGCCAUGGCAGUCCAGUGAAGUUACCACCAACUGGAGUUCUGAAGAAGGGAAAAAAAGGAAGGCCCUGGAGAAGUGCAGACAAGUCAGUCUCUCCUCUGUGCCUGUUAGGACUAUGGAGCAGAACCUGGAAACUAUGCUAAGGCAGAUGGAAAAUGAGGGGGUGACAGCCACCAUGGCAUCAGUAAGGCUAAAUUGUGCCUGAAAAGUUUGGUAGCCUUCUGCAAUGGGGUUACAACACUGGUGGAUAAGAGCAACUGAGGUCAUUUACCCAGACACAUGCAAAGUGUUUGACACUGUCCCACAUUACAUUCUUGUCUCUAAAUUGAAGAGACAUGAAUUUGAUGGAUGGACCACUCAGUGGAUAAAGAAUUGGAUGAAUGGUUGUGCUCAAAGUGUUGUGUUCGCUAUCCAGGAGGAGACCAGUGAUUAAUAACAUGCCUCAGGGGUUGGUAUUGGGACCAGUACUGUUUAAAAUCCUUGUUGGCAAGAUGAACAGUGUGACUGAAUACACCCUCAGCAUAUUUGCUGAUGACACUAAGCUGUGUAACAUGGUUGGCACACUGGAGGGAAGGGAUGCCGUCCACAGGGACCUUGACAGGCUUGAGAGGUGGGCCUGUGCAAACUUCGUGGAGUUCAGCAAGGCCAAGUGCAAGGUCUUGCCCAUGGCUCAGGACAAUAUGAUAUUAUAUGGGACAAAUACAGGCUGGGCGGAGAAUGGAUUGAGUGCAGCCCUGAGGAGAAGGACUUGGAGAUGCUAGUUGAUGAGUAGCUUAGCAUGACCCAGCAGUGUGCACUUGCAGCCCAGAAAGCCAGCCAUAACCUGGGCUGCAUGGAAAGAAAUGUGGCCAGCAGGUUGAGGGAGGAGGUUCUCCUCCUCUACCUUUCCCUUGUGGAUUUCACCUGCGUCUAACUCUUGGGUCCCCAAUGUAAAAAAAUCAUGGACGUGCUAGAGUGGGUCCAGAGGAGGAUUAUCAGAGAACUGGAGCACCUCUCUUGUGAAGUGAGACUGAGAGAGCUGAAGUUGUUCAGCCUGGAGAAUAGAAGGCUCCAGGGAGACCAUAUAGCAGCCUUCCAGUACCUAAGGGGGCCUACAGGAAAGCUGGAGAGGGGCUCUAUCAGGGAGUAUAGUGGGGCUGCCCUUUCCAUCCUUGGAAGCAGUUGGUACUCUCACUGAAUCUAAUUCACUUGGCUGUUUUCCCAACCUCUGCUCCGUGGGCUGUUCUGCUUGGGCAGGUAAGUUCAAGUGCUCUGUCAUAAGAACUCCUUGGGGACUAACCCUUUACAGGUGGAGCAACCCACCUGCUAAAACCUAGCUGCCUAGUGAAGACCUGAAUCAUUUUCCUGUUAAAAAAAAGUGUUUUUCUGCAGGCAUAUUUAUUUAUUAAUUUAUUUUCCCUCCAAACCAGCAAGGAUGAUUGUAGAACUACAACAAAUGUUAGGGGAAUUCAGAACAGGAGCUGCAGCCCUAUUAAAUGAGUUAGGAUGCUGACGUGGCUGACCUCAGUUAGCAUCAGAGCGCUGUACUGAAAGUUCUUCGUAGUGUUAUUUGCAGAACCAAGCACCUGUGCCUACAUUUUCCUACCCUCCAAAGGAGUUUUCAAUCUAACACAUAGCAUAUAUGAUAAAUGAUUAUGAGCACCCAAGAAGUAUUGUGUGAGUGAUAAUUUAUUUUCUGAGCUACCAUAGUAAUCUAUUGUAAAAGGGAAAAAACGUCCCAAUUAAGUACUUGUAGCUUCAGUGAUAAAAUAUCUCCUCUGUGCCUCUUAUAGGAUAGUCUAAUAAGCCUGAAAAGUUAAUUUAAGAGCAAACUGUUAUGUGAUUUUAAUAGAUUAGAAAAUAAGCGCUAAUCAGAAAGGCCUUCCACUGGAAAAGAUGAUGAGGGCCCACUUGAAUAUUUGGCUGUUUUAGAGGAUGUUCACAAAAUAUCAGUGGUAAUAAGAACUUCUUUUGGAAAGUAUGCAAAUAACGGAUGUGGUUUGGUGCAGGCAGUGCUAACAGUUGAGCUUUGCCAUCUCACAUACUGGCAGAGUAGCAGCAAGAACUUUACACUGAGACUCGGGAGAGCUGGGAUCUAUUUUCAGCUUUGCUUUGGGCCUAACGAUUGGCUUCUAAUUAUUCUGUGCCUCAGUUCUCCCAUCUGCAAAAAAGAAAGAACGAGACCAACACUCUUUACAAAGAGCUAUAAAUUCUGUUGAUGAAACGUGCUUUAUUAAUAGCAACGAUGCCUUCUCGCUCACACUGCUGUUAAUAAAGUAGUUGUAAAUUCACAAAUAUCCAAUUAUGAUAAUGUGCAAGGGGCUAUGGAGAAAAUAAAGGAGAACCUCCAUGCCUGUUCCAUCACUGCUGUGGAAAAUGGGAUAUUACCUCUUGUCCCACUUUUAGAGUCAGAAUGGUGAUGCAUGCAGGGUAUGAGGGAUGCUGGUCUGUUUCCUCGAGGUCUGUCACAGAAAUGACCACUAAACUGUAAGUCUCAGCAGGGGCCAUUGAAUAGGCCUGGAACACAAGCCACUCUCUCAGCCAGCUAGCACUUUAGCUAGCUCUCUUACAUGAUUAAAAGUGUACCUUCAAGUGGAAAAUGUCUCUUCCUUCAGUCUAAACUCAGGCUAGAUACUGCCUUGAGUCAUACCAGAGUAAGUCUUUUAGAUGUUCACAUCAGUGGUACUUCUACAGACCUGAGACCCCAAUCUGCCACCCGCUUGCCACGUGUAGGUCUUUGUAUCUGCCUUGAACUGAUGUUAGGUAUCCUGGAUGCAAGGGUCUUGCUGAAUGAACACAUUGCAGCAUUUUGUAUCAGAGAGAUGCCUCAGCAGAUUUUAGUUACAUAUUAGAACUACAACUUGCUCGUUGCCACAAGAGGGAAGCCAAUACUAAUAAUAUAACUGUAUUCGUUUAUUAACUAUGGUUAAUGCGGUAAGAUUUUUAUCCAUUUCAAGGCUGUUGCGUGUCUCCUUCUCUUUCCUUUUAGCAAACUUGCAUUUGAUCGUAUGUCAGCAACUAAAGAACAUUAUUCUACAUUCCAUUUGCUCAAUGCCCUGUGAAAUGAAUUUCAUGGAUUUGUCUCUCUCGUUUGAACAGCGCACACAUAAACCCGAAACAGAAAGUAGGGGCAAAACUGAGCUGUUUGUUUUCAUAGCAAAUUUAAGCAGUCCACUUGCCUGUAAGGGAAAAUUUUGUGGGCAUGGCAGCUGGUCCCUUAUUUGGCUGAAUGUUAAUAACUUAAACUAGAUAUUAGGAAGAAAUUGUUUACUGUGAGGGUGGUGAGACAUUGGAACUUGUUUCCCAGCAAGGUUGUGGAUGCCCCCUCCCUCCCUGGAAGCACUCAAGACCAGGCUGGAUGAGGCUCUGAGCAACCUGGUCUGGAGGGAGGUGUCCCUGCCUAUAGAAGGGGCUUGGAGCUUGGUGAUCUUAAAGGUCCCUUCCAACCCAAGCCAUUCUAUGAUUCCGUGAUUCUAUGAAUGUGAAAAAUUAAAGACUAUUUGACGAGUCAUAGGCAGCAUGACUACAGAGCAAGAACUACUCAAAAUAGUUGCAACUGAAUUCAGUGAGCCUGCUGACUCUUGUUCUUUGGCUUGCUCUGCAACGUAUGAGAGCACCUUCUUUAUAGAUUCAUUUAUUAUGUCAGACCUGAUCUCAUUUACUGUGCUGCAAACCAGAGUAACUGCUGAUUUCAGGAACUUCACUGAAUCACUUAUCUUGUGGUAUGUUAUCUGUGAAAGUCACCCUUAUUUAGAUCACAUGCUGGAGGCUUAAAUCUAAUAGGUCAAGAUUUGUUAUUGCAUUUCAUCCUGCAUCCAGGCAUUAAAAUAUAUGCACGGACUUUUUGGAAAGGUCUUCAGAAACUGGCGAGAGCAAUGGUUUUGUAUAUAAGAAUUUAAAAGACUGUUUGGGUGUUAAACAGAAACUGAACAGGGAUUCAUCAACCACAUUUCCUUGGUUAGUAUUUUCCUGCAGCAAGAUGCAUAUACAUGAGAGUGACUGUUCAGAAGAUUUCUGUGAAGCAUUACUGUCAUAUGACAAUCAUUACAGAUCAUAAUUCUUGGUAUUUGGAAGUCAUGAUUUGGCUCGUGUAUUUCUUUUCUGGAGACAGAGCAGAAACAUGAAGCUAAAGGCAGUGCAGAAAAACACAUAUGUUGAGGCUUCCUACGAAGCCCCCUAUGGUGUUCCCUGCAAGUGCAGGAGAAGGAAUCGGGGCAAGGUUAUGGAAGUCACAGACAUAGAUUGCAGUCCCCAAAGGGCCUUUGCAUAACUAGCUUCUCUGUUAACUUUUUUUUUUUUAUUAAUACUUUAGGAACAUUUAAUGAUAUUUUGGAUAUUUUCUUCUCCUUCCCUCUCCCUUUAGAGCAGUCAUACCUUAAAAAUGUUUUCCUAAAGGUACUGCUGUCUAAUAGAUAUUGUUAAGCGUAGAAGAGAAAACAUAGCCUGAAAUAUUACUGCCUCCCAGGUGGACAGACACCGCUCACAGACUCUCCCAGUGCAUUGUUUCUCAGGUAUUCUCACCCUACUUCUGUUUUUCCUUUCCCUCCGGUGCUGUUUUAGGCCCCAGCCCUGCAUGUAUGUAUGCAGGUGUUUUUUAUGGACGUGGGCAGUCACACUGCCUCCAGUGAGAAUACUCACAUGACCAAAAGCAUGCACUUGCGUUGGGAUUUCCUGAAUCAAGGGCAUAAAAGGAAAUGGCCAGGUUAAUAAUGGGUUGGUUUUAUCCCUGAUGUAAUGCCAUUGACACCAGUGGAAUUAUACAGGGCUGAAAUAGAUCCAGUACGUCUAAACAGGGAACUACCUCCAGCUCUCUCACCUGCCACUUUCUGUAUUGAUGGUGUAACCAAAGUCAGUCCUUUCUCCAGGUUUGGGCAGCUGAGGCUGAGGGAAUUCAGAUCACUUUGCACCAGCAAGAGCUGCUCUGCUUCAGCACAGCAUCUCCUGAGAUAUCAGGUGUGCUUGCCCUGCAGAGCUAUUAGAGAUAUAUGCCUGUGGAGCUUCACCUAUAAGCCGCAUGUGCUCAUUGCCAUACUGAAGCAGCUCUCACUUGUUCUGCCAUUUCCCUGCUCGUAGCUGAUGCUGAGCCAUUCUGUAGCCUUAGCAGGAGCUGCUGGUCUUGGGGCAAGAGCCCUGCUUUUCUCAGUUGGUGUCUGGGUUUUUCCACUAUGUGGUCUCCUCCUACAGCAGUGCUCUUCUGCGGUCCUUGUGGGUAGUAAAUGCUCCAGUUGAAUAUUCACACUUGAAAACAGCUGAUGUGUAAACAUGAAGAUUUUAUAUAUGUAUAUAUAUAUAUAUAUAUGUAAAAGGUUUAUUAGGCUUAGAGAAAGACCCUCUUCAAAAUGUUUCUCUCUUCCCUUCUGUGGCCAUCCUGCCCUUUGCCUGUGGGAUGUUAGGGUCCCCCAAGAGCUCACUUUUGUGGAGCUCUGAUUUGGGAGCUCUGUGAACCUCAGCUAGACUUGAGUGCAGUUCAGCAUGGUUUCUUCUGGUCUACAAACACAUGUACCCUACCUGCCUGCUCACCCAAAUGCUCCCUAACAUGGAACGGGCGUCCAAACGUCAAAAACUAUGGAGCCAGAAGAGGGAGGAAUAGGGGAGAAAACCAACGCUAAGACACCCUCCAGCAUCCAGGGCUCAUGACUGCUUUGACAAGAUCUAUCUUUAGUUAUAAUAGUGAGUCACAUCAUUGUGAUUUGACUUUACGGUUAGUUUGAGGUAUGAGCCAGGCCAUGGGAUUGAGAGCGAGAGCAUCACGGGAUGCAGCUGUAAAAUUCCACUACUCUGUAAAUCAGGUUUGAAGAGCAUUAAGAAACAGGAAGCAGGCAGGGGAGGCUGGGUUUUUGUGUGUGGGGUUGGUUUUUUUUUUUUCCUUUUGUUUUGGGUUUCUUUUUUUCAGCAGAAAAUGAUCGCAGUGCCCGCUGCGUCGUGAUGUCGUUGAGCAGCGCAGGGAGCGGAACGGAGGGCAUGUAUCGGUAGGCUGCUGUAAUAUUCCCGAGCCGAGCGCUCCUCUUUCCGCACUGCUCCGUGUGCCAAGUGUCACGUCCAGCCCGCCCCACCAGCCACCACGAGCUGAUGCAGGAUUUUCGUGGAUGGUGCCGUGUUGCUUAGCAACCUUGCUAGGCAGCAUGCUAUACAUCACGCACGGCGCCGGCUACUACGGUACGGUGAGGCUGCUUCCAGUUCUUUUUUAUCGGCUAUGAAAUAUUAAUUUUCUGCUGGCAGGUAGAGUUGGCACCAGGAGAUUGAGGGGUGCUCCCUCCCAGGUGGACGCGUGCUGCUCCGUAACGGGAAUCACAGGCAGCCCCAGGCUGAGCUGAGCUCCUGGGAUGUAAAAUGUGGGCACGAUUUCUGAGAUGUAAACGCUUUCUGUGCCUGAGAUGGGCUACAGGUUGGCUUUAGCACAAAGAAAUUAAUAAAUAACCAGGCGGUGAAGAUUAUGUGACAGACAUAAUAAUGUAAGUACAAUAUAUUCCCCCUCCUUUUUUUCUGUGACUCAUAUAAGCAAAUCCUGAUGUGAGGACCACAUGUUUGCGUACACAAAGAAAAGGAAAUUUCCUCGACAUUUGGGGAUAUAUAUAUAUAUAUAUAUAUAUAUAUAUAUAUUUUUUUUUUUUUUUUUUUGAGGCUCCUCCACUCCAGGGCGUUGUGGAUGAGAGCCCAUAUCACAAACACCAGUGACAGUUUUCUAGAUUGAUGGGUGUAAUUGCAGUGGAGAAUGCCUGCCAAGCCCCCUCCCUGAAAUGAUUGCAUAACCCAGCUGUUGCAUGUGCAAAAAAAAAAGGGGGGGGGGGGGGGGGAGGGGGGAGAAACCAGUCCUAUUCUAUAAGAAGCUGAAUUGUUAUUGCAGAAGGUAAACAACAGGGAGCCUGGUCCUCAGAGCAGCAGAGGAGAUGGUAUCUACAGCUCAUUUCAGGUGACAAGAAGGGAAGGAUGCAGAAGAAUGAAUAAAAGGCAGUAGAUCAUUUCUGCCAUCUGAAUGCCAUGUUUUUCUACUGAACAUCUGCAGACAGACACAUUGUUUAAGCCAAAGUGAAGAGGGAAGCAAGAGGGGAAAACCACAGUGUCAAAAUACACAACGGCUUAUGAAAUGAACUGCUGAAUUGCCCCUGAUCUACACUUGCAGAUAUGGCACACCACUGGUGGAGCCAGCAAAACCGUGCUUUGUCCUCCCAUUACUUUUUAGAGUCCAGAAAUUUAGUUUUAGCUUAACUCAUUGUAUUGCAGGCAUACCUUGCUGCAUUUUGUGGUGGGUGGUGGAAUCAGACAAAUCAGACUGCCCUACCAUAGAGCACACACCUCGCAUUACAGAUCUCAUAGGACUUUGAUACAGAAAUUGUUCUCGAGGUGUUCGGUGGCACUUGUCCAACAGCAGAACAAAGACAGCAACAGAGCUUCCAUUUCAUGCUUUUCACCAAAUCGUGGCAGGCUGAAGUGAAAUCAGUGCCCAUGGUUCAGCUCCUCUGUUGGGCUCCUCAGCCUGUGUAUGUAAGGCCAAUUUAAUCCUAGGAGAAGAUGCUCAGAAAUUGUGCUGAGAGGAGUAGCUGGAUGAAACGCUUUGGAGUGAGAACUACUACCACAGGAAAGUAAAAUACCAUCCCUUCCACAGCUGUGCUUCAGGCACAUCUAAAGGCCUGUCCUGGUUUUGCUGCCAUUUCUGUUGAUGAGAAAAAAAUUGAAUUUUUAUUAUCUGUCUUUUUUUUUUUUUUAAACUGGAGAAAUGUAAUUGGAAUGAUUGCCCAGUUAUAUUACUUUUUUUUUUAGCAAGAGAUUUCUUCUAUAAAAUUUCACAAAUAUUGACAGCAGUCACAGUAAAAUUUAAGGUGUGUGAAAAAUUUGCAGAAUUUCACCAUCCGUUUGCACAUCUUUCUGUCACUUCAGAAAGCUUCUCAGCUUAAACACUUGGCAACUGACGGAGCUGUUCAAAUUUUAGUGAAUGAGGACCAAGUAAAUAACUGCAAGGCCUGUAACUGCGUGCAUUCACAGAGCUGAAUUGUGCCGGAUGGACACCAGUGACUGAUGGAGGGAUACUGGACCCAGCCCAUAUCUAGGACAGCGAGCGUGCCGUGCCCUGUUCCUUUCAACACUAAGACUUCAGCAGUAGGAAGGUACUAGGAGCAUAAAUGUCAUUUAUACCUGCUGCAAGAUCUCUGCGGGGUGAUAAUACAAAUGACAACCUGUCUCAGUCCUUCCCUAGGGCUGAGAGUUAUCGCAGCAAAAGUUAGAAGAUAAAUUACAUCUUACAACAAAACAGACUCGAAUACAACACAUGCAAGCAUCUCAGUCUCUGCAGAAAGCAGAAAGAGUGUUAUGCUGGGCAGAAGUAAAAAUAAGCAAGCUAAUCUCGAAUGACACUGGAAAAGAAAAUAGCUGAAGGACUUUUCCUCUCUGUGAGUUUCAAGGGCAAGCUUUUAAUUAACCAUCACCUGCUACCUGGUUAAUGGAGCACCCUCCUCAUCUAGGUGGUGACCACUGAAUAAUGUUUGAGAUACCUGCCUGCUGGGUGGCAAACAUGACAGAAAUGUCUCUAGGAGGCCUCCCUGUGAAGGACUGGAACCACGUACACAAAGUAUAAUGCAGAAGUCAUGAGCUAAGUAAUGAAGUUGAAAAGAAAGAAGUCCUGUUUUUAAGCUUGGUGCAUUGAGUGCUUAAUGUGGUAGAUGUUCUUAGUUGAAAGAAUAUCUGACCUUGUAAUAGAGAGAUGUAAUAAUGUGAACACACAAAAAGGAUAAUUAAACUUAUUCAGACCAUCACGAUCAUCUCAUCAAACUAAUUGCAAAAUUCAGACCAUCAAUCCUUAGUCUACAAUUCAUAUCACUAGCCUUGAACUAAUCUAACUAACUAAUUGGGCUAUAAUAUGUGUGACUGUUGAAAUGGUGUUAAUUUGGUGUUUAAACAUUACUUGCAUUUUGGCUUGCACUACUGAUGUGAUAUUACUGUGUAGACACCCCAGGUUUGCCUACCAAAAUAUGCACAAAGGCUUUAUGUGCAAAGUUUUAUUUUAAAUGUUGCUGAAGAAGUUUCACCUCACAUUUAUGCUUAUUUCUGUUUAUAUCUACUUCUAUGUAUUUUAUGUUUUAUUUAAAUAUUUAUGUUUAUAUAUUAAAUUGCAGUGAACUGAAAAAGCUUCCCUUCCCUUCCCUUCCCUUCCCUUCCCUUCCCUUCCCUUCCCUUCCCUUCCCUUCCCUUCCCUUCCCUUCCCUUCCCUUCCCUUCCCUUCCCUUCCCUUCCCUUCCCUUCCCUUCCCUUCCCUUCCCUUCCCUUCCCUUCCCUUCCCUUCCCUUCCCUUCUUUUGAAAGAACUAACCCUCCCAAGCAGAGAAGAAAAAAGACACUCAGGAUUUUUGUGGACGUAGACAUUUCAAGAGGUUUUUCCUUUUUUAGGUGAGGGGAAAAUUAAAAUAAAAAUAGUAUAACUCCUUCCCUUAUUCAAUCAUUUUUAAUACCAGAGUCUUAAAAUCUGGUUUGGAAGAUGAACGUUCUCUACAGAAAUAUCUAAGCAUGAAUUUUUUUUGGACUGGUCCUGGAUAAGUGACAGUAACACCCUCCUGAAUAUUUUUCCAAUACAUGGAGGGCUGUUGAUUGCCAGUUCAUAGAUGCUGGGGCUGUUUUGUUUGUUCCCUAAGAUGGUGUUAAUGUUGCUUCCAUCUCACAGUAAAACACCAUGCUGUUGCUAACUAAGAAUUCACUGGAACACUCAAUUAUUGAAAAACAGUUUCAGAAAUCCUUCUGAUUCAUGAAUGUAGCUGUGCUGAUUAGGGGUAGUAGCAACACAACCAUAGCCAGCUUCCUCUCUGUCAAUAAAUCUGUUGUUUCAGUCUGGGUGAGUAACACGAUCUAGCUUCUGAUAUUAUUCUGUUGUUUGGCAUAGUAACGUUUGCACUCAGGUGUAACGUGAACCCGCUGCUGAUGGUCAGUGAAAGCGAUGCCAACCUAUGCUUUGGUCAGCUUGUUGUUGUGCAUCUUAUUCCAGCGAACUGUUUACCUUUGUAAUGUAUGUCAUGUAGUCAAUGCUUUUUUGGGGUUUUGGUUUUUAUUUUUUAGAUUGGAAAAAAUAGAUUCUGAUCUCAGCACCGUGAAAACUGCCUGUAAUUUCGUUAGAGCCGUUGGAGCUACAUUGCCCUAAAGGAUUAACCUGUGGUUUAAUUUACAUAGCAGUAAUGAGCCUGCAAUUCCAUUCACUUUUUCAGCAUUAGGAGGACAGGAGGAGGACAGAAGUUUCCAGCUCCUUGCUCAGGCUUCCUGUUUCAUAGACGGCCUAGGAUUUGUAGCUGACUCUUGUCUCAGUGGCUCCUCGUCUCUAAAUCUGCCAUGAUGACCUUUGGGGUCCUCUUGACAGCCCAUUAAAAUGCAUACUGCGUCUUAAAUUCAUGUUGGAGGGGAUGUUUUCCUCUUCAAAUUUUAAGAGCUGUCCAUUGCAUACGACUAUCAUGUGGUUGUUCAUUCCUUCCUCUUAGGUGUUUUCACCUUCUCCCGUAGCUUCAGCUUGUACUUGAUGAACUAUUACGUCUUCUGGGGAUUUCCAUUUCAUUUGUAUUGAAAGUGUCUUUCAAGCCACCGUGAUAUUCUAAACAAACAACAAAUUAAAAAAGAAAUCCAACA